CACGAGGGUUCCACCUCUUCCCAUUCCGAACAGAGAAGUUAAGCCUCGUCACGCCGAUGGUACUGCGUAACAGUGGGAGAGUAGGUAGCCGCCGUUU
Molecule: ribosomal RNA, 97 nt
Filed under: Bacteroides thetaiotaomicron
Lineage: Bacteria; Pseudomonadati; Bacteroidota; Bacteroidia; Bacteroidales; Bacteroidaceae
Also listed under: 3 other names
Source: RNAcentral